CACGGGGGGAGCAAGCGUUGUUCGGAAUCACUGGGCGUAAAGGGCGUGUAGGCGGUCAGGUUAGUGAGAUGUGAAACGCCCCGGCUCACCCGGGGACCUGCAUCUCAAACUGCCUGGCUUGAGUAUGGGAGAGGAUGAGGGAAUUCCUGGUGUAGCGGUGAAAUGCGUAGAUAUCAGGAGGAACACCGGUGGCGAAGGCGGGGUCCUGGGCCAGUACUGACGCUGAGGAGCGAAAGCGUGGGGAGCAAACAGG
Molecule: ribosomal RNA, 253 nt
Filed under: uncultured bacterium
Lineage: Bacteria
Description: partial 16S ribosomal RNA
Rfam family: Bacterial small subunit ribosomal RNA
Source: RNAcentral